UCAAAGGAUUAAGCCCAUGCCAUGUUUUAAAGUAUAAAAUAGGAAUAACAGUGGAAAAUGGGGAAAUGGCUUCAAUUAAAAACAGUUAAUAGUUUUAUUUGGAUGGAUUGAAGGUCUUACCAAGGGAUAACCCGUGGGUAAUUUCUAGAGGCUAAUACAUUGCAUUUCAGGCCCUGACCUUACGGAAGGGGCUGUAUUUUAUUCAGAUAUGAAAGUCCAAUAUUCCCGCAAAGGUCCUAUUGAUGGUGAAAUCAAUAGUAACGUGAUCGGGAUCCCGCAACUGGGGGAUAGAUCAUUUCAAGUCUUCUGCCCCUAUCAGCUUUUCGAUGGUAGUGUAUUGGACUUACCAUGGGCAGUAAACGGGUAACGGAGAAUUUAGGGUUUCGGUUCCGGGAGAGGGAGACCUGAGAAAACGGCUACCACAUUUAAGGACAGGCAGCAGGCGCGUAAAUUACCCAAUGCAGAUUCUGCGAGGUAGUGACAAUACAUAACAACCUGGGGUCUCACGACUUACGGGAGAGCAAUGAGAACAAUUUAAAAACCUUAACGAGGAACAAGUGGAGGGCAAGUCUGGUGCCAGCAGACGCGGUAAUUCCAGCUCCACUAGCGUAUAUUAAAGUCGUUGCAGUUAAAAAGCUCGUAGUUGAACUUCUUGUUGUGUUCUAGUGGCCGGUCUUCGAUCGCCAUAGGUGCAGCCAUCCGUCUGCAAACUUUUACAUCGUUACCUGCUUGGUUUAAGGGAGCAGGCAUUUUACUAGAAAAAAUGAGAGUGUUUAAGGCAGGCACAACGUCGCUCAAUACAUAAGCAUGGAAUAAUGGAAUAUGACGCUUAGUCCAUUAGCUUGGUGAUUGGACUUGCGUAAUGAUUGAUACG
RNAcentral lists this ribosomal RNA (874 nucleotides) under Cyclidium glaucoma. RNAcentral describes it as "SSU rRNA". It matches the Rfam family "Eukaryotic small subunit ribosomal RNA", at positions 37 to 876 of the family's 1831-position model. The record is from RNAcentral. Lineage: Eukaryota; Ciliophora; Oligohymenophorea; Pleuronematida; Cyclidiidae.